Small nuclear RNA from Malania oleifera, 106 nucleotides. NCBI's taxonomy places the organism in Eukaryota, Viridiplantae, Streptophyta, Magnoliopsida, Santalales, Ximeniaceae. The record is from RefSeq and is a predicted model, not a curated record.
UUUAAAAUUUUUCAAAUUUUAAAAAAUUUGGAACGAUACAGAAAAGAUUACAACCAUCCCUGCACAAGGAUGACGCACAAAUUGAGAAGUAAUCCAAACGAAAUUU